This 687-nucleotide unclassified non-coding RNA is filed under the name Hevea brasiliensis (rubber tree). The record is from RNAcentral. Lineage: Eukaryota; Viridiplantae; Streptophyta; Magnoliopsida; Malpighiales; Euphorbiaceae.
AAAAAAAAAAAAAAAAAAUUCUAGAUUAGACAAUUGAAGCACACAAGUUGCUUACAAGUCAAAUCAAAAUUCAUUUGGUUUCAAGUUACCAAACUAGUAUCCAUAUAUAGUUCAGUCUAACAUUACAUUUACCACCAAAUCACACUAGAUAUCAAAAUAUCUUCAAUUUGUUAUUUUCUAGUCAGCACCAAUAUGUGGCAUAGUUAUUAAAGGCACAGGCACACACCUGAAUGAGGUCAGGCGCAAAAAAUGUAAAAUUUAACUAAAAAUUAUAAUUAAAAUCAGAUAGUCAUCAUUAGCUCUAUUUAACCAAAUUUAUCAAAAUUAUCAAUCUAAAAAGAUUAAUAAGCAUAGAAAAGUACAUGAAAUGAAUAUGAAUUUCACAGCCAUUAAUAUCAUUUUUAUUUUAGGAGAACACUACUAGAACUUCUGAGAAAAUAAAAUAAACCAAAUUUUGGACAUCCAAGACAAAUCCAAAUACGCUAUUAGUGUUAGAAAAAGAAAAUAAAGAAGCAAUUUUAGAUAACCCAUGAACAGAGGACCUAAAUAGCAUGUUAGUGUUUUUCCUUAAAACAAAAAGAAUAACUCUCAGAAAAUCCUGAAAUAAUGAACCCAAUUACCCAAAUAGCACCGUUAGUAGUGUUUAAAAAAGGGCAAUUUCAAAUAAACUAGAAACAAAGGAGUCCA